ACUCUAAUCCGCGGUUCUGUCAAUCAGCAGCAGCAGUCUUAUCUGUGGGCCGCAGGGGCUGAUGGGAGCUUUGAGGACCUGUUAGAAACCACGUGGCCCUCGUCUGAUCUCACAGCUCGUCCUUGUUUGGCCUCAGCUGCAUCAGAGCGCCACUUCUCCCCAGGUUCACCAGAGGAAACACCACUGCACAAAAUGCUUUUCCUCCCAGCUGCUGCUCUGUGCUGUCUGUGUUCAGCACUGGUUACCAUGGCAGCAGAACAGCUGAUUCAGGAAGAUUUAACAUUGACCAGGAGAGUUGGAGAAAGUGUCUCCUUCAGCUGUGGAGGGACUGACCAGUGUUACUACAGUGAAGUAUUCUGGUACCAGAAGAAAGAAAAAGAAACAUUCAGAGUGAUUCUUUAUAUUGAUAAGAAUAGUGGUUCUGUUUACUCAGGUUAUGGUCAUCCUCAGAAAAAUGAUUUCUCAGCUCAGAAUAAACAGAACGGCUGUGAGUU
Molecule: long non-coding RNA, 494 nt
Organism: Oreochromis niloticus (Nile tilapia)
Lineage: Eukaryota; Metazoa; Chordata; Actinopteri; Cichliformes; Cichlidae
Exons: 2
Source: RefSeq, a predicted model, not a curated record